Molecule: ribosomal RNA, 494 nt
Filed under: uncultured bacterium
Lineage: Bacteria
Description: partial 16S ribosomal RNA
Rfam family: Bacterial small subunit ribosomal RNA
Source: RNAcentral
GACGAACGCUGGCGGCGUGCUUAACACAUGCAAGUCGAACGGUGAAGCGCCUUCCUUUUUGGUGGGUGGGGAGGGGUGGCGAACGGGUGAGUAACUCGUUAGUAACCUGCUUCCUUCUUCUGGAUAACCGCAUGAAAGUGUGGCUAAUACGGGAUAUUCUGUGUCUGUCGCAUCAUGGGUCUGGGACAGCUUUCGUUUCGGUGGGAGAUGGGCUCGCGGCCUAUCAGGUUGGUGGUGGGGUGACGGCCUACCAAGGCGGUGACGAGUAGCCGGCCUGAGAGGGUCGGCGAUCAUAGAAGGGAGGCAAGGCCGAGCAGACUCCGAGAGGCGGCAGCAGGGAGGAUUAUUGCACGGUGGGAGGAAGGCUGAAGCAACGCCGCGGGGUGGGAGAAGGAGGUCGUCUGGUAGUGAACCUCUGUCGCGAGAGAAGCAGGGCUGCCUAGUUUGUGGGUGGGUUGACGGUAGCUAAAUAAGAAGCGCCGGCUAACUACGUG